This 383-nucleotide ribosomal RNA is filed under the name uncultured eukaryote. RNAcentral describes it as "partial 18S ribosomal RNA". It matches the Rfam family "Eukaryotic small subunit ribosomal RNA", at positions 592 to 976 of the family's 1831-position model. The record is from RNAcentral.
CAAUAGCGUAUAUUAAAGUUGUUGCAGUUAAAAAGCUCGUAGUUGGAUUUCUGGUGGGAGCGAUCGGUCUGGCGCUUAGCGCGAGUACUUGCAUCGUCUCCGGCCAUCCUUGGGGAGAGUCUGUCUGGCAUUAAGUUGUCGGGCAGAGGAUCCUCAUCGUUUACUGUGAAAAAAUUAGAGUGUUCAAAGCAGGCUUAUGCCGUUGAAUAUAUUAGCAGGGAAUAAUAAGAUAGGACUUUGGUACUAUUUUGUUGGUUUGCGCACCAAAGUAAUGAUUAAUAGGGACAGUUGGGGGUAUUCGUAUUCCGUUGUCAGAGGUGAAAUUCUUGGAUUUACGGAAGACGAACUACUGCGAAAGCAUUUACCAAGGAUGUUUUCAUUAA